This 744-nucleotide ribosomal RNA is filed under the name Triticum aestivum (bread wheat). RNAcentral's name for it is "partial small subunit ribosomal RNA". The record is from RNAcentral. Lineage: Eukaryota; Viridiplantae; Streptophyta; Magnoliopsida; Poales; Poaceae.
AUGUUAUUUAUGUUUGAUUCAGCUUUGAACCCAUCAGUUAUUUCCGGGCUCCUGAACUCAAUUGAGCACCUCAAUGGGACUAACUUUCUUACCUGGAAGGAGCAGAUUUUGAUUAACCUUGGUGUCAUGGACCUUGAUUAUGCACUUAGGGAAAAAGCUCCAGUUUAUGAGGCUAAUAAGGAGAAGUGGGAGCGCUCCAAUCGCUUGUCUAUCAUGAUCAUGAAAAUCACAAUUACUCUUGGGAUUAGGGGAGCAAUCCCUGAUUCUGAAUGUGCUAAGACUUAUCUAGCGUCGGUGGAGGAGCAAUUUAAAGGCUCAACAAAAGUCUACGCUAGUACGUUGAUCAUGAAAAUGCUCACCACUAAGUAUGAUGGUAAAAGCGGCGUGAGAGAACAUAUCAUGACUAUGAAUAAUAUGGCCGCAAAAUUAAAGGGCAUGGACAUGGAGAUUUCUGAGGGCUUUCUGGUUCACUUCAUUAUGACUUCUCUCCCUAUGGAGUAUGGUCCCUUCAAAAUUAAUUAUAAUACUCAGAAGGAGAAGUGGACCAUGAGUGAGCUCACAUCUAUGUGCGUUCAAGAAGAAGAGCGGCUUAAGGUUGAAAGGAUAGAUUAUGCUCAUCUUACUUCCAUAAACUUAGGGAAAAGAAAGUCUCAGGGUGAUGGGAAACCUAAGAAGAAGAUGAACUUCUCUAAUAUUGAUGCAAGCAAGCUAGGGAACUCUGGCACCAAGGACAUCGCUACAUAG